CCGCUGCCCCGCGAGGGGGAGAGGAAAGUCCGGGCAACGCAGAGCGCCGCACUACCUAACGGGUAGAUGUCCGUGAGGGCACAGCAAGGUAACAGAGAACGACCGCCCCGAAAGGGGUAAGGGUGAAAAGGCGGGGUAAGAGCCCACCGCCCGCCGUGGCGACACGCGGGGCCGUACCGCUUGCGGGUUGCAAGGCCAUGUAUACCGGCAUUCAAGGGUUGCUCGCCCGCUGCCGGGGGGUAGGCCGCUUUAGCCUGCGGGAGACUGCGGGCAUAGAUAAAUGGCGGAAACGUGCCGCAGUGCGAGCUGCGGUACGCACAGAACCCGGCUUACAGACG
This 338-nucleotide RNase P RNA is filed under the name uncultured Tidjanibacter sp. RNAcentral's name for it is "Bacterial RNase P class A". It matches the Rfam family "Bacterial RNase P class A". From Rfam's summary of the family: Ribonuclease P (RNase P) is a ubiquitous endoribonuclease, found in archaea, bacteria and eukarya as well as chloroplasts and mitochondria. Its best characterised activity is the generation of mature 5'-ends of tRNAs by cleaving the 5'-leader elements of precursor-tRNAs. The record is from RNAcentral. Lineage: Bacteria; Pseudomonadati; Bacteroidota; Bacteroidia; Bacteroidales; Rikenellaceae.